UACGUAGGGGUCGAGCGUUGUCCGGAGUUACUGGGCGUAAAGCGCGCGCAGGCGGCGCGAUAAGACCGGCGUGAAAGCCCCCGGCUCAACCGGGGAGGGUCGUUGGUGACUGUCGCGCUUGAAGGCAGCAGGGGUGAGUGGAAUUCCCGGUGUAGUGGUGAAAUGCGUAGAGAUCGGGAGGAACACCCGUGGCGAAGGCGGCCUCGGCUGGGCUGGUUCUGACACUCAUCC
Molecule: ribosomal RNA, 231 nt
Filed under: uncultured bacterium
Lineage: Bacteria
Description: partial 16S ribosomal RNA
Rfam family: Bacterial small subunit ribosomal RNA
Source: RNAcentral